UACGUAGGUCCCGAGCGUUGUCCGGAUUUAUUGGGCGUAAAGCGAGCGCAGGUGGUUUAUUAAGUCUGGUGUAAAAGGCAGUGGCUCAACCAUUGUAUGCAUUGGAAACUGGUAGACUUGAGUGCAGGAGAGGAGAGUGGAAUUCCAUGUAUAGCGGUGAAAUGCGUAGAUAUAUGGAGGAACUCCGAUUGCGAAGGCAGCAUACCGGCGCCCUACUGACGCUGAGGCACGAAAGCGUGGGUAUCGAACAGG
Molecule: ribosomal RNA, 252 nt
Filed under: uncultured bacterium
Lineage: Bacteria
Description: partial 16S ribosomal RNA
Rfam family: Bacterial small subunit ribosomal RNA
Source: RNAcentral